GGCGUUAUCAAACGCCGUGAUCGAAUUCAUGCGCUGCAUGGUUCGGGGCGAGGCGAGCCUCGGGUUUGUUGCGAAUGCAACCGUUGCAAGGAGGUCCUGCAACGCUGCAGUUUCGGAAGAAACACGAGUCGCCCGUCCCUUGUCCAGGUGAUAUGCUUUCGAUUGCGUGCGCGGUGUUACACCAAGGAUCCGUCGUUCCGACGACGGCGAGCUGGAAGCGCCGCAACCACCCGAUGUGUUGGAAGGGUGAAGAGACGGUCCUCCAGGAGAUUUGUUCGGCGCAGACGCGUGCACCCGCAUGUCAUGCGGAGCCAGGACCCCCUCGUCGCCCGAUAUUUCUCCUCGGAUACCGUUCGCUCUUUCGAUGCAUGGGGCGGGGACCCAUCUCCUCUCAAUGCACGCCCCAUUCGGCGAGGCGCGUCCUCCCGAUUCGCGGGUUUGCAACGGGCGGGAUGUGUCAAAAUCAACACAUAGGUGCAACGCGCCUUCGAAAUCCAAACACUUUGGCGUUUGCGAGCACCUUGCGUGUCCGCCUCGCCGAAAAGACAAUAAAAAUUGCAAUCAAAUACGACUCUCGGCAACGGAUAUCUCGGCUCUCGCCACGAUGAAGAAUGUAGCGAAAUGCGAUACUUAGUGUGAAUUGCAGAAUCCCGUGAAUCAUCGAGUCUUUGAACGCAAGUUGCGCCCGAGGCUUCGGCCGAGGGCACGUCUGCUUGGGCGUCGCACUCUACAAUCGCCCUCCGGCUCGGCUCGGAGGAGCGCAGAUGGCCAUCCGUGCCCACCAACGGUGCGGUCGGCUGAAAUGAGCACGAGGUCCGAUAACUCGUUGCGACGAGCGGUGGCCUUGACAGGUCGGCGUUGGUUUGCGCGGGUCUGUAACUCGGGCGAGUGAAGAACUUUGAUCGGCUUUCAACGGCUCGCUAGUGCUCUGGCGAGUCCGUUGGGCCGCUACCGCGUCCCCAAGUCAGGCGUGAMUACCCGCUGAGUUUAAGCC
This 994-nucleotide ribosomal RNA is filed under the name Widdringtonia nodiflora. Its description in RNAcentral is "eukaryotic LSU rRNA". The stretch from base 570 to 723 matches the Rfam family "5.8S ribosomal RNA". Lineage: Eukaryota; Viridiplantae; Streptophyta; Pinopsida; Cupressales; Cupressaceae. The record is from RNAcentral.